AUUGAACGCUGGCGGCAGGCUUAACACAUGCAAGUCGAACGAGUGGCGGACGGGUGAGUAGUGUAUUGGGAUCUGCCUGAUGGAGGGGGAUGACUACUGGAAACGGUCGCUAAUACCGCAUACCAUCCGUUGAAGCCAUGUGGGAGUAGCUUGUAGGUGAGGUAACGGCUGACCUAGGCGACGAUCCCUAGCUGGUCUGAGAGGAUGAUCAGCCACACUGGGACUGAGACACGGCCCAGACUCCUACGGGAGGCAGCAGUGGGGAAUAUUGCGCAAUGGGCGAAAGCCUGAUGCAGCCAUGCCGCGUGUAUGAAGAAGGCCUUCGGGUUGUAAAGCACUUUCAGUCGGGAGGCGGUACCGACAGAAGAAGCAACGGCUAACUCCGUGCCAGCAGCCGCGGUAAUAC
This 406-nucleotide ribosomal RNA is filed under the name uncultured bacterium. RNAcentral's name for it is "partial 16S ribosomal RNA". It matches the Rfam family "Bacterial small subunit ribosomal RNA", at positions 30 to 526 of the family's 1533-position model. The record is from RNAcentral.